UUAAUUAUCAUUGGGUCUUGUUCAUGAAUAAGGGAAAGAUGGAGUGUGAGAUCUGUAGUGAUACAGGCGUUGUACCGGUCUGUUAUGGUGAAGAGAGAAGUGAGUCGGAAGGUGAAGCGCUUGAUUUACUCAUCGAUCUAUGGUUCAACACUCAUCUAGGGUUACGAGUUUGGGUAGUUAUCCAAAAAAUGAGAUUGCAAAUACAAGCAGCCAAAAUUUGUUUUCUCUGCAGGGUGGCUGGGCUCUCAGAGAUAGGGUGAGAACAUAGACUGUAAAUACUGGACAAACGGAUUCCAUUGGCUUCAAUAACACGUUUGUUGUCUAUAAUGGGAGGUGGCCACCACCGCCAUUUUGACCGUGUCACAGGUUCCGUCCAGCCCAGACAACUCCAUAAAAGGGAAGAGAGGAGGCGCUGAGGGUGUGGCUGUAAGGCUGGGCUCGAGUGACGACACCCAGGCGAACUAGCUACGAGCUAACCUGAAGCUAACCCUGGCUAACCCAAAGCUAAAGCGGAGGUGGGAGCCGAGCUAACGGAUGUAGCCACCUAGCUUCAACCCAACCGGAGCUAACUGGAACACCCAUCGACCUGAACCUCACACGGAGUUUAGGUGGAGGUUUUCUGCGCCUGUUCGUGAGAAGUACCUGUAUUAAAAAAGUUUUAAAUCGAUCUAUUAAAAGGUCACCAUGGCAGCCUGUGUGUCAACGUCAGCUACACAAAGCAGCAAGUGUAAGUACCAAGUACUUGUCUUGACCACUUCAUGAAUGGUUUUGUACUUUAAACAGCUAGGCCAAACCUGUUAUUUUUUCCUCCAUAGCCAUUUGGAUCAUUGGAGACAGCUGAGUGAGGCGUGGUGCCCAGAGAGCUGCAGAGACGACCUUGGCCUCCCUGACGUCUGUGUCUCUUGGUUUGGUUGGGGCGGACCAUCGACAUACAUACAUGUGCCGACACUUUGCGCCCUGUUUUAUAAACUGUAGUGUUAAAAAUAAAUGUUUUUGCUCAA
Molecule: long non-coding RNA, 1001 nt
Organism: Nothobranchius furzeri (turquoise killifish)
Lineage: Eukaryota; Metazoa; Chordata; Actinopteri; Cyprinodontiformes; Nothobranchiidae
Source: RefSeq, a predicted model, not a curated record